RNAcentral lists this transfer RNA (84 nucleotides) under Fidelibacterota bacterium. RNAcentral describes it as "tRNA-Leu". It matches the Rfam family "tRNA". From Rfam's summary of the family: Transfer RNA (tRNA) molecules are approximately 80 nucleotides in length. The record is from RNAcentral. Lineage: Bacteria; Pseudomonadati; Fidelibacterota.
GCCGGGGUGGUGGAAUUGGUAGACACGCCGGUCUCAAAAACCGGUGGGAGCAAUCCCGUGUCGGUUCGACUCCGACCCUCGGCA